GCCGGGCGUGGUGACGCAAGCCUGUAAUCCCAGUGGCUCAGGAGGCUAAGACAGGAGGAUUGUGAGUUCAAAGUUAGCCUCAGCAACUAGUGAGGCACUAAGCAACUCAGUGAGACCCUGUCUCUA
Molecule: small RNA, 126 nt
Filed under: Marmota monax (woodchuck)
Lineage: Eukaryota; Metazoa; Chordata; Mammalia; Rodentia; Sciuridae
Source: RNAcentral